CAUUUGGUUUUAGUAUUAUAAGUACUAAAUUAAAAGGGAAGUUAGUGAAAUUCUAACACGGUCCCGCCACUGUAAAGAGGAUGAAAACACAAUGCCACUGAAGAUAUUUGGGAAGGUGUGUGAGUAAAGUGAUUCUAAGUCAGGAGACCUGCCAAUGAUCAUAG
RNAcentral lists this non-coding RNA (164 nucleotides) under uncultured Fusobacterium sp. The record is from RNAcentral. Lineage: Bacteria; Fusobacteriati; Fusobacteriota; Fusobacteriia; Fusobacteriales; Fusobacteriaceae.